CUACGGGGGGCUGCAGUGAGGAAUAUUGCACAAUGGGGGAAACCCCGAUGCAGCAACGCCGCGUGGAGGAUGACGCAUUUCGGUGUGUAAACUCCUUUUAUGAGUCAAGAAAAUGACGGUAGCUCAUGAAUAAGCACCGGCUAACUCCGUGCCAGCAGCCGCGGUAAUACGGAGGGUGCAAGCGUUACUCGGAAUCACUGGGCGUAAAGGACGCGUAGGCGGGAUGUCAAGUCAGGUGUGAAAUCCUAUGGCUCAACCAUAGAACUGCACUUGAAACUGGCAACCUAGAGUAUGGGAGGGGGAGAUGGAAUUAGUGGUGUAGGGGUAAAAUCCGUAGAUAUCACUAGGAAUACCGAAAGCGAAGGCGAUCUCCUGGAACAUUACUGACGCUAAGGCGUGAAAGCGUGGGGAGCAAACAGGAUUAGACACCCUGGUAGUC
Molecule: ribosomal RNA, 439 nt
Filed under: uncultured bacterium
Lineage: Bacteria
Description: partial 16S ribosomal RNA
Rfam family: Bacterial small subunit ribosomal RNA
Source: RNAcentral